RNAcentral lists this long non-coding RNA (640 nucleotides) under Brassica napus (rape). Its description in RNAcentral is "long non-coding RNA (BNAP_LNC015251)". Lineage: Eukaryota; Viridiplantae; Streptophyta; Magnoliopsida; Brassicales; Brassicaceae. The record is from RNAcentral.
AUCACAUAAUCAUCUCCUUAUUCAUCCUAAAUCAUUCUACUCUUUCGCAUACAAACUCAGAUUAUCUAAAAAUUUUAUGGUAUCAGAGCCAGGUUCCAAAGAAUCAGAGUUCUUGUUUUGAAACGUUGAGAAACAAGUUUGAAGCUUUGAAGCCAUCCGUGGAAAGAAUCUGAGAUUCAGAUUCUCUAAAUCUCAUAUGGUAUCAGAGCCAGGUUCCAAAUCCAUCCUUUUGUGUAUACACUUCUUCAACUCGCCAUCUUCAGGGAAUACUCUUGUGGAACUUUCUCCUUCUGCUCACUUAACUCCCCUCCUCAAGCCAUCCAUACUUCUCCAUGAUAAAAUGCACCUAUGUCUAAUCUUCUCUGGAGGUUGAGUGGUGUUUCAGGUGCACAAGGAGUCAGGUGCACAAGGAGUGUUCUUAGUUCUUCACCAAUCCAAGAGAAAGAGGAUGGCAUUGCCCAUUGUCAUGAGCAAUGGAGAGCGGUUACUGAAGUGGUUAUGAGCCACUGGUUAGUGAAGACUCACGGCUGCUCACUUCCAAGCUUGGACCCUCAUUCUAUCCAAGCUUGAGGAGGGGAGUUAAGUGAGCAGAAGGAGAAAGUUCCACAAGAGUAUUCCCUGAAGAUGGCGAGUUGAAGAA